RNAcentral lists this non-coding RNA (31 nucleotides) under Homo sapiens (human). Lineage: Eukaryota; Metazoa; Chordata; Mammalia; Primates; Hominidae. The record is from RNAcentral.
UAACAGGAGAGCAGCAGUACGAUUUUGCCGA